AUGUGCUGCUGCUCAGCAUGAGAGGAACCGCAGGUCCAGACACUGGGUAUCUGCGCUUGGCUGACGAGUCAAUGAUGCAAAAGCUACCAUCUGUGUGAUUAUAACUGAACACCCAUAAAUCAGAAUCCAAGACAU
This 135-nucleotide non-coding RNA is filed under the name Lepisosteus oculatus (spotted gar). Its description in RNAcentral is "Eukaryotic large subunit ribosomal RNA". It matches the Rfam family "Eukaryotic large subunit ribosomal RNA", at positions 3022 to 3144 of the family's 3401-position model. Lineage: Eukaryota; Metazoa; Chordata; Actinopteri; Semionotiformes; Lepisosteidae. The record is from Rfam by way of RNAcentral.